UACGAAGGGUGCAAACGUUGCUCGGAAUCAUUGGGCGUAAAGCGCACGUAGGCGGCCUCAGGUGUCGGAUGUGAAAGCCCGGGGCUCAACCCCGGAGGUGCAUCCGAAACUCUGGGGCUGGAGGUCGGAAGAGGAGGGUGGAAUACCCAGUGUAGAGGUGAAAUUCGUAGAUAUUGGGUGGAACACCCAGGGGGAAACCAGUCGACUGGGCAGCACCUGACGCUGAGGUGCGAGAGCGUGGGGAGCGAACCGG
RNAcentral lists this ribosomal RNA (253 nucleotides) under uncultured bacterium. RNAcentral describes it as "partial 16S ribosomal RNA". It matches the Rfam family "Bacterial small subunit ribosomal RNA", at positions 524 to 776 of the family's 1533-position model. The record is from RNAcentral.